AUUGAACGCUGGCGGCAUGCCUUACACAUGCAAGUCGAACGGCAGCACGGGAGCAAUCCUGGUGGCGAGUGGCGAACGGGUGAGUAAUAUAUCGGAACGUGCCCAGUCGUGGGGGAUAACGUAGCGAAAGCUACGCUAAUACCGCAUACGAUCUAUGGAUGAAAGCGGGGGAUCGCAAGACCUCGCGCGAUUGGAGCGGCCGAUAUCAGAUUAGGUAGUUGGUGAGGUAAAGGCUCACCAAGCCGGACGAUCUGUAGCUGGUCUGAGAGGACGACCAGCCACACUGGGACUGAGACACGGCCCAGACUCCUACGGGAGGCAGCAGUGGGGGAAUUUUUGGACAAUGGGCGCAAGCCUGAUCCAGCAAUGCCGCGUGCAGGAUGAAGGCCUCGGUUGUAACUAGCUUUGUACGUACGAACGGUAGAG
RNAcentral lists this ribosomal RNA (426 nucleotides) under uncultured bacterium. Its description in RNAcentral is "bacterial SSU rRNA". It matches the Rfam family "Bacterial small subunit ribosomal RNA", at positions 30 to 457 of the family's 1533-position model. The record is from RNAcentral.